CUGGUUCUCCCCGAAAGCUAUUUAGGUAGCGCCUCGUGAAUUCAUCUCCGGGGGUAGAGCACUGUUUCGGCAAGGGGGUCAUCCCGACUUACCAACCCGAUGCAAACUGCGAAUACCGGAGAAUGUUAUCACGGGAGACACACGGCGGGUGCUAACGUCCGUCGUGAAGAGGGAAACAACCCAGACCGCCAGCUAAGGUCCCAAAGUCAUGGUUAAGUGGGAAACGAUGUGGGAAGGCCCAGACAGCCAGGAUGUUGGCUUAGAAGCAGCCAUCAUUUAAAGAAAGCGUAAUAGCUCACUGGUCGAGUCGGCCUGCGCGGAAGAUGUAACGGGGCUAAACCAUGCACCGAAGCUGCGGCAGCGACACUAUGCGUUGUUGGGUAGGGGAGCGUUCUGUAAGCCUGCGAAGGUGUACUGUGAGGUAUGCUGGAGGUAUCAGAAGUGCGAAUGCUGACAUAAGUAACGAUAAAGCGGGUGAAAAGCCCGCUCGCCGGAAGACCAAGGGUUCCUGUCCAACGUUAAUCGGGGCAGGGUGAGUCGACCCCUAAGGCGAGGCCGAAAGGCGUAGUCGAUGGGAAACAGGUUAAUAUUCCUGUACUUGGUGUUACUGCGAAGGGGGGACGGAGAAGGCUAUGUUGGCCGGGCGACGGUUGUCCCGGUUUAAGCGUGUAGGCUGGUUUUCCAGGCAAAUCCGGAAAAUCAAGGCUGAGGCGUGAUGACGAGGCACUACGGUGCUGAAGCAACAAAUGCCCUGCUUCCAGGAAAAGCCUCUAAGCAUCAGGUAACAUCAAAUCGUACCCCAAACCGACACAGGUGGUCAGGUAGAGAAUACCAAGGCGCUUGAGAGAACUCGGGUGAAGGAACUAGGCAAAAUGGUGCCGUAACUUCGGGAGAAGGCACGCUGAUAUGUAGGUGAAGCGACUUGCUCGUGGAGCUGAAAUCAGUCGAAGAUACCAGCUGGCUGCAACUGUUUAUUAAAAACACAGCACUGUGCAAACACGAAAGUGGACGUAUACGGUGUGACGCCUGCCCGGUGCCGGAAGGUUAAUUGAUGGGGUUAGCGGUAACGCGAAGCUCUUGAUCGAAGCCCCGGUAAACGGCGGCCGUAACUAUAACGGUCCUAAGGUAGCGAAAUUCCUUGUCGGGUAAGUUCCGACCUGCACGAAUGGCGUAAUGAUGGCCA
This 1183-nucleotide ribosomal RNA is filed under the name Thauera sp. 2A1. RNAcentral describes it as "partial 23S ribosomal RNA". It matches the Rfam family "Bacterial large subunit ribosomal RNA", at positions 849 to 2013 of the family's 2925-position model. Lineage: Bacteria; Pseudomonadati; Pseudomonadota; Betaproteobacteria; Rhodocyclales; Zoogloeaceae. The record is from RNAcentral.